This 4425-nucleotide long non-coding RNA is filed under the name Cricetulus griseus (Chinese hamster). RNAcentral describes it as "lncRNA (ENSCGRG00015037712.1)". The record is from RNAcentral. Lineage: Eukaryota; Metazoa; Chordata; Mammalia; Rodentia; Cricetidae.
CCGAGUGCUGGGAUUAAAGGCGUGCACCACCAAUGCCCAGCUAAGUCUCAUAGUCUUUAAAAAUUCAGGCAUUAAAAGUUCUAUCUCUUUAAAACACCCAAAGUCUCUCUCAAAGUUCAAAAGCCUCUGGAUGAUGGCUCCUGUUAGGCCAAACAUAAGAUACAUGCUUUCUAAUUAUACCAAGGAAAAACCGUCACAUAGUCACAACUAAAUCAAAGUGAAACCUUUGCUUUGCUAUGACAAUUGAUGCUGUCAGGUGGGGAUGGUUAAGAAGAAGCCAGCAUCACUGAGAUGAGAUCUGGGAAUAUUUCCCCAGGGUUAGCACACAGAAGCUGUGGUCCAGAAGGGACCCAGGCUUCAUCUCAUACUGGCAGUUGAACUUGGUAAAGUUUAAGAGUAACGCAGGAGAUACUAGUUUUGCAGGCAUGAGGGGUCAUGGAGAGCAGCCCAGGCUUGGCAUUAUGUGGCAGGGCUGGAGUCCCAGCAGAGAGCCUAGGAGAGGCUGUCAGUGGAGACGAAGUCCAGUUGUAGAGGAGACUCAGGCAUACUAUGGAGAUACCAGUACUAUGGUUGGAGCAGACCUGAGCCUACAGGACAAGCCAUGUGUGCUUUGAUAUGCUUGCUGCCAAGGCUCUUUGGAACCCACAGGAUCAUAAGUAGGUCCAGACACCUAGCACUCAACUUUUUACAUCGUUGAAUUUUGGUUUGGCUGAUUUUUCAGCCCCAGCUGAACCACCGAGUCUUAAUUCCAAACAUCACUCCAAGAGCCCUUCCAGAGUCUUUCCUUUGAAACUUCACAAACUGCCCUCAGGCUCUAAGUGCUCCUUACCUUAGGUAUAUGUCCCACUGACUGUAGCUUCUAGUCAAAUGUGACCUGUCCUCAUCUUCUCUUGUUUAAUUAACAUUUUCACAGACAGGAAGCCCCGCCUCCCUCACUUCCUGUUACAUGUUUAUAACACUCCCUAACACAGAGUGGUGAGCAAGUGUUAUUUCAUCUUCACAGCAUCCUGAACCCAACCCCACUUUGAGACAGAGCUUUGCUAUAUAUCCUAGGCUUUCCAAGAAUUCUGGAUCCCCGUGCCUCAGCCCCUAAGUAGCUGGGAUUACAGGCCUGUGCCAUCCUUCACAACCAGCAUAGCUCAUCUUUAAGGAAUUCUCUUCCUUCGCUAUGACCCAAUGGAGCUGUGAAUUGUGGUGCUGCGGGAGGCUGGUUAGUGGGAAUUCUCCAUCCUCUGACUUCAGAGAGGGUUGCAGGGACAAGCACAUACUUACCCAGAACUGACUAGUUGGGGUGGAGAUUUGCUACAUUUGUGUACACAGAGAGAAGUCUUUCUUCUGAGUCUGGAAGCUAUAAGGAUGUUGUAGCCAGGGAGUUCUGUCCAUCUCUCUCUACAUGGAGGAAGGGCCGCCUAAUGGAAGGGAAUAAACCCACCCUAAACAGUUCAGGGUUAGAAAGAAUCAUAGUUGACAUAGUUGACAUAUUGGGUGCUGACUUCAGGCCAGGCCAUAUUACAAACACUUGGUGUGGAGAAUCUUGACUCCCCACAGGGCCCUCUGAGGUGAACUAAUUAUGGAUGCCACCUCACAGAAAGGGACACAGUGGGGGAGGGGGGUUGCCUAGCAUGCAGGAAACCCUGAAUUGUUGCAGGGUGAGAAUUCGAGAUUUCUCCCCACUUUACAAGGUGAGAAAUGACCCCUGGGCCCCAGGAUUGAAUCCCAAGAGAAGUGCUGGCUCCAACCAAGGGAUGAAGAAAAUCAAACAGGAGAAUCAAGAGUUAAGCAAUGGGUUUAACACCACCCACCUAUGUAGGUUGCUGGAGCCAAGAUUUGAACUCAGGCUGUGGGAUUCCAAAGCUGUCAAGCUGUGCUGCCUUAUAAGCCGAGAUGAACAUUAAGGAAGCUGAAGGGUUUAUACUCAUGAGCAAGUGUGAGAACUGACAGCAUGGUAGGAGUACCUGGCUCUGGGCAAGCCUGGAGUCAGCUGACUGUGCUUUCUAGUUAAGUAAGCCAAUGCAUUCCCCGUUUUGCUUAAAAUAGUUUAUACAGCAGUCACUUGCAACUGUCUGAAUUUGUUGUGGAACGACUAGUCUUAGAGAGAGGGAAGCUUCAAACUCCUGGCUGCAUCCUGGCUCUACCCUUCACACUGAGAGGACAAGUCACUUGACCUCUUAGAUCCCUGCAGGUAAAUGACAGGCUCUUGAGGCAGCUGUGACUGGAGAUGAAAUUACGUGUAAAUGCAUUUAACACUCUGCUAAUAUAAUUUAAGUAGUCGGUAAUUGUUGGAACUCCCCCUUCCCUCUCCCCGUUAGGAGUAGGUGCUCAAUAGCAUUUGUUGAAUUGAAUUAAGUCCUCUAGAGGCUGCAGGAUGCUGCCUGAGUUUGAAAGCUGCAAGGAGCUGCCGAAUCACCAAUCAGGAGGCUUCUCAGUCUAAGUGGCGCCUAACAGCUCUAUUUGGCUGUUUUGAAAGAAAGAAAGAAAGAAAGAAAGAAAGAAAGAAAGAAAGAAAGAAAGAAAGAAAGAAAAUCUGCCUUUCCCUUCUGUUCUCCUGGUAGCCGCCUUCUCCCUGGCGUUCAGUCUCUCCACAGAAGAGAAAAACAAAGCAAAACAGUGUUUGCAGCAGGGACCUCAAGAGGUAGCCCGGACUCUCCCAUCUCUCUGGUCUCCACCCACUCACCAAGCCCUACUGAUGCUGCUGCUUCUUCCUUUUCCCUCCUGCCCGUGCCCUUGCUUGCAUGCUUCACUUUUCUGGGUGCUUGCCUCUUCCUCACUGGCCUCCAGCCUGCCAACACCACGCCAAGAUCCAGAGACACCAUGCUCAAAAGUACCAAACCUCUGUUGGCUUAGAACUGCAUGCAGGAUGACGUCAAGCUUGGGUGGACGUACAUGGUCCUCCUCGGUAGCCGGCGCUGCCUGGGUGGCCAGGCUUGGUUCUGCCAUGCUAUUUCAAGCCUCCAUGCUCGCUCACGCCUUUCCCUCAGCUUGAACACUCAGGGCACCUACGCCCCCACCCUCUACUCUUACUCAUUCUUCAAGCGCUCUCUCUCUCUCUCUCUCUCUCUCUCUCUCUUUCUCUCUCUCUCUCUCCCUCUCUGGAAAUACUCACUCAGCGCUCAUACCUACUCUGUGGGCCAAGGAUGCUUCCUCUCUGUGCUCCCACAGCGUCCUGCAUGAUUCCGCCUUCUUAUUGUUUUGACCUGAUCACACCGCCCUUGUUAAAAGCACUUUAAGGCAUGUAGUGAUGAAUGGUGAUGAAUGGCUCUAUUAGUACCCGCGACCUUACACAGUGCCCUGCACCCAGAACCUCCCACCUGCAGACAGCUUGCAAGCUGUAAGUAAAGGGACCAGGAAGGAAAAGGAAGAGGCUGAAUUUUAGCCAACAGAACCUCUGCUUGCUUUUCUUGGUUGAGUUGUCCCGUGUACCCCUCCCCCACCUUCUCACAGAAAAUACCGCAGGUUUAGGGAUUAAUUUCUGAGAACUCCCCUGGCCCUUUCUCACCUUGUAAAGUUCGGAGGGGUUUCAUUUCCUCACUUAACAAGCUGGGAAACUUUGGCAGUGGAAGAGGGAAAGGAAACUUUCGGGGAUGCCCUAGGGCUGUUCAAUUGUUCAAAUUACUGUCUGUCCCUCCUUGCAGCUUUGGGUUCUGUACAAUUGAGUGGAGACCUCUGACUACCUUAAAACAGCCCCCAUUUCAGUUUGAGAAAGGAUGAAGUUAUUUCCUUACAACUAAAUAUAGAGCGUGAGUCUGUGCUGAUGCAUAACUUAGGCAAAUGCAUGCAAAUCCCUCGUGGGCUGGGGGGAUCCCUGUCUUCUGAGUCAUCCAGCCAGAGUUCUCUCCUUGGGGACCUCCAGUCACAGACCUGAUACUGACCCAGCUGGAUUUCGGAGGCACCCCUGAUCUGGCUUCGAGACCCUGGCUGUAUCUGCUCUCCGUUAAACCAUCCACCAAGUCAAACCAAACAUGGCAGAAGACAUCCUGGCCUUUGGAACCACCCUUUACCCUCCAUCUCUCCCCCUUUUCCUCCUGUCUCUCUGUCUUCUCCCCCUCCUCUCUGUCUGCUCCUUCCUGAUGGAAAUUUGGCCUCUACCUGCCCUUGUGACUGGAAAAAGCAGCGUCAGUUCAUCAAAGCAGAACAAGGCUGCUACUUAGUGUCCUUGAUCUAUGGGUUACCAGGAAGGCCCAGGGUUACCCAGCCCUCUCUGGUCCCCGCCAGAAGUGGGGGUGGGGGCUCUUCAGCAGGUGUGAGGCCUGCCUGUGGCAGAGAACGUCAUCAAAUGGUCAGCUGCCUCCUGGUGGAUGCUGGCACUAAGCCUACUGUCUCCCUUGCUAUCACUUGGGGGUUCUUUGGGCAGAUGGACGGAAGAGGCAGGGACAUGUACAGCUAGGAGGAGGUCUUCUGGGGCCAGAGGCCAUUGUUCAGUAGACC